UGCACAAGCUUCUUGAACAUCCCUAACAGCUGCUUGUUCCACUAUGUUCCUCACAUUAAAUCUCUUAAUAGCCUUGUUACCUUAGGGCAGCACUUUCCACAGUUAGAGCAGCGGAUGAACUUGACGUGACCGCGACCGUGCUUGUUCCGUCCGCCGUUUCUUCGCUUGAAAGUCUGCAAAGAGAGAAAUUAGGUUAACGGAAUAGAUCGAUGAAGGAUGCG
RNAcentral lists this long non-coding RNA (221 nucleotides) under Helianthus annuus (common sunflower). RNAcentral describes it as "sRNA HanXRQr2_Chr01g0019091". Lineage: Eukaryota; Viridiplantae; Streptophyta; Magnoliopsida; Asterales; Asteraceae. The record is from RNAcentral.